Pseudophryne corroboree (corroboree frog) is the source of this 967-nucleotide long non-coding RNA. RefSeq lists it as uncharacterized. The transcript is spliced from 6 exons. Lineage: Eukaryota; Metazoa; Chordata; Amphibia; Anura; Myobatrachidae. The record is from RefSeq and is a predicted model, not a curated record.
UGGAUUCCCAUGUAUGCAGACAUAUAGGAUUGCUGCUGGAGAAUUGAAAGGAGCUUGAUAACAGCUAAAAGCCCUCUUUUUGGACACUAAUACUGAUACUAGUAAUUAGAUGGUCCUAAUUAGGGGGAAUCCGAUUACAUUUUGUCCUACUGUGGAAGUAGGAUUGCUGCUGGAGAAUUGUAAGGAGCUUGGUAACAGCUAAAAGCCCUCUUUUUGGAUACUAAUACUGAUACUAGCAAUCAGUAUAAUAAUUGGUUUGAUCAAAAGAUGACUUUCUAUAACCUCUUAAGAAGGAAACCUCUCCUGAAAUUUUGAGAGCAUUUUCAAUAAGAGAAAAAAAAUGUUGUUUAGAAUAUCUCCCUCAUCCUGUGUAUUGGACUGAGCUAUGAACAUAAUGGAUGCUCUAAGGAGGAUUUUGCUAUGGAGGUCUCCGUGGGUAAUGACAGCGGAGUGGUUGCAGAGAACAGAAAAUCUACCUGCGUCCCGGACCAGUGGAACGCAAACAGGAAGCCGCAAUAUGUCUGUGGAACGCAGACACGUCACCUCCAGUGAUGCGGUUCCGGUCCUGACGUGGACGAGCCACUGGUCGCCGCAGGUGGCUGUAAUGCUCUCAUUUGGUAGGAGAUUUAAGGGGAUUUAAGCAUUUGGACCUUUUGCCGCUUGAAGUCGGACUGCUGUGUGACCUGGGUAUCCCUGUCUGCUAUAGUGUUUUGGUCCUUAAAUACCCGGGUUUUGGACCAUUCACUUGACCUUUUCAAUCUGGACGCAGGGGGUCUCCCGUUUCGUCUGAUUGCAGGACACCAAGCUGGAUACACACUUGUGUGGUGAUAUAAACCUUUUAUGUUUUGUUAUAUGUGAGUGCAUUUGUUUAUUAAAUUUGUCCUUUGUCAAGUCAGUAUUGCACCAUACACUUCUUUUAAGUUUUCAGUGCCUGAUGAAUAUCUCUCCUGGCGAAUAAAUCAUAUUU